CCAAUAGCGUAUAUUAAAGUUGUUGCAGUUAAAAAGCUCGUAGUUGAAUUUCAGGCCUGGCUGGACGGUCCGCCCUUCGGGUGAGUACUGUCUGUGGUCGGGUCCUACCUUCUGGCGAAGCGUCAUGGCCUUAACCGGCCGUGGCGGGGAACCAGGACUUUUACUGUGAAUAAAUUAGAGUGUUCAAAGCAGGCAAAUCGCUUGGAUACAUUAGCAUGGAAUAAUGGAAUAGGACAAUGGUUCUAUUUGUUGGGUUCUAGGACUGUUGUAAUGAUUAAUAUGGAUAGUUGGGGGCAUUAGUAUUCAAUUGUCAGAGGUGAAAUUCUUGGAUUUAUUGACGACUAACUACUGCGAAAGCAUUUGCCAAGGAUGUUUUAAUUAAUCAAGAACGAAAGUUAGGGGAUCGAAGACGAUCAGAUACCGUCGUAGUCUUAACCAUAAACUAUGCCGACUAGGAAUCGGGCGAUGUUGACAAAAUGACGCGCUCGGCACCUCAUG
Molecule: ribosomal RNA, 498 nt
Filed under: uncultured Glomeromycotina
Lineage: Eukaryota; Fungi; Glomeromycota
Description: partial small subunit ribosomal RNA
Rfam family: Eukaryotic small subunit ribosomal RNA
Source: RNAcentral